UUACCCAAUCCCGAUUCGGGGAGGUAGUGACAAUAAAUAACAAUACAGGGCCAACGGUCUUGUUAUUGGAAUGAGAACAAUUUAAAUAACUUAACGAGGAUCAAUUAGAGGGCAAGUCUGGUGCCAGCAGCCGCGGUAAUUCCAGCUCUAAUAGCGUAUAUUAAAGUUGUUGCAGUUAAAAAGCUCGUAGUCGGAUGUCGGGCUCGGGCAAGCUGUCGGCCUCUGGUCGGACGGCAGGCUCGGGUCUUUCUGCCUGAGGAACCCGGUUGCUUUCGGGCUGCCGGUGGACGCAGGUCGUUUACUUUGAAAAAAUUAGAGUGUUCAAAGCAGGCUAGCGCUUGAAUACAUUAGCAUGGAAUAAUGGAAUAGGACUUUGGUGCUAUUUUGUUGGUUUAUGGGACCGAAGUAAUGAUUAACAGGGACAGUUGGGGCCGUUUAUAUUUCGUUGUCAGAGGUGAAAUUCUUGGAUUUACGAAAGAUAAACUUCUGCGAAAGCAUUCGGCAAGGAUGUUUUCAUUGAUCAAGAACGAAAGUUAGGGGAUCGAAGACGAUCAGAUACCGUCGUAGUCUUAACCAUAAACUAUGCCGACUAGGGAUCAGUGGAUGUCAAUUUGCGACUCCAUUGGCACCUUGUGAGAAAUCAAAGUUUUUGGGUUCCGGGGGGAGUAUGGUCGCAAGGCUGAAACUUAAAGGAAUUGACGGAAGGGCACCACCAGGAGUGGAGCCUGCGGCUUAAUUUGACUCAACACGGGGAAACUUACCAGGUCCAGACAUAGUAAGGAUUGACAGAUUGAAAGCUCUUUCUUGAUUCUAUGGGUGGUGGUGCAUGG
RNAcentral lists this ribosomal RNA (830 nucleotides) under uncultured marine Geminigeraceae. RNAcentral's name for it is "SSU rRNA". It matches the Rfam family "Eukaryotic small subunit ribosomal RNA", at positions 441 to 1287 of the family's 1831-position model. Lineage: Eukaryota; Cryptophyceae; Pyrenomonadales; Geminigeraceae. The record is from RNAcentral.